Canis lupus familiaris (dog) is the source of this 1500-nucleotide long non-coding RNA. RefSeq lists it as uncharacterized. The transcript is spliced from 6 exons. Lineage: Eukaryota; Metazoa; Chordata; Mammalia; Carnivora; Canidae. The record is from RefSeq and is a predicted model, not a curated record.
GUGGCAUUCUGAUAUGCAGGUGGAGCCCAUCUUCUGUCCCUGCUAGAACUGAGAUGUCCUAGGAAGGUGACUUGAGCCCAGAAAAUGUCCUCUACACCUACAUAGAAAGGCAUCCAGAGGAAGGAAUGGCCAUUAUUUAGGUCACGACUUUCUUGUGACAGAGGAAGGAGAACAAGAGGAUUGGUGGCUUCUUGGACUGGCAAAGGAAUAAAAAUUGUUUAGCUACCAGAAACUAAGUUACAUUUUCCAACUCCACCAGCUGAGAAAAAUGUUCCACAAUUAAAAUCUACAGAACUUGAGUAAGAUUGCUAUGGAAACCAGAGAAGACAAAACACAGCCUUACAGAGAGGUAAGGAUGAAGAGUUUCCCUAAAAGGAAAAAGCUGAAUUUCAGAAUAUAUUCUGGAAAGAUAUCCUGGAGAGAUAUUCGCCUGGGAAAGGCUAAUAAAGCUAACCUUGGACUAAGAGAGAGAAAACUAUCUCCCCCAGACUGGUUCAUUUUGAAUGACUGAGUCUCAACUUUUGGAGCCAGGCAAGUGGGAUGAGAGAGAGCUGAUUUCCUUCCCAGUGAAUCACUUGCCAAAUGGAGUGAUCCUGAGUCACAUCUGAAUGGAAUGAAACGUGACCACCGAAAUGCAAUUCUUCCUGCAGCAUCAACACAAAUAAUUCAGAUGAUUCUAAAUUUGAUAGAAGAGAAAGAAGUAUUUCAGUGCUUUUUGAUACUGCUUGAGUGUUCUUCCCGUGGCAAUUGUUUGCUAGUUUUAUAAGAAUUCUCUUGGCCUUCUCUUCACACUUUCUAUUUCCUAAAAUGAAGUACAAAUUUUUAAAUAAUUUUUAAAAAUGAUAUCAUACCUCCUCUAAUAAAUUUAAAUGUACCCCUAGCUAGAGAGCAAAUUAAAAUCAGAGGCUGAAAUCUCAAAUUUUAAGAUGCAUGCCAAUUGCCAGAGUUUAAAAAAAGAUACAGAAUAUGCUUCCAAAUGUGUGGGCGGGGACUGAGAUUUGCAUCUCUAACAAGCUCCCAGGUGAUACCAGCAGCUGGCCCACAGAACACACUUAGAAAUAACAAGGAUUUCAUGCUUUUUAAAGCAAUGGUUAAUGAAGAAUCCUGUACACCUGUUGUCACAGGUGCUUUGAGAAGUACAAAGCCCUGAGCUAGCCAUUCCUAUCUAUUAAAUUUGGAUAACAGGUUUGGGGCUCUGUUGAAGAAAAUUGCUUUAAAAAGACAAAGAAUAGAAAUCUUCAUUUCUGUUGGGGUAAAGAUUUCUUCCUGUUCAAUUUAACACUUAUCUUGUGCUCGUGACCAUGAAAAGAUCAUGAUGGAUUUGCUGAUAGUCCUCUUAAAUUUAUGUUCUGUAAAUUAUAACCCACUAUCUCUGACUUCUUUAUUUUUUAAGAUUUUAUUUAUUCAGAGAGAGAAAGAGAAAAUAAAUAUGAGUGGAGGUAGGGGCAGAAGGAGAGGGAGAGAGAGGGUCUUAAGGAGACUCUGCUCUGAGCACAGUGC